This 584-nucleotide ribosomal RNA is filed under the name uncultured bacterium. Its description in RNAcentral is "partial 16S ribosomal RNA". It matches the Rfam family "Bacterial small subunit ribosomal RNA", at positions 355 to 937 of the family's 1533-position model. The record is from RNAcentral.
UGGGGAAUUUUGGACAAUGGGCGCAAGCCUGAUCCAGCCAUGCCGCGUGCGGGAAGAAGGCCUUCGGGUUGUAAACCGCUUUUGUCAGGGAAGAAAUCUUCUGAGUUAAUACCUCGGGAGGAUGACGGUACCUGAAGAAUAAGCACCGGCUAACUACGUGCCAGCAGCCGCGGUAAUACGUAGGGUGCAAGCGUCAAUCGGAAUUACUGGGCGUAAAGCGUGCGCAGGCGGUUUUGUAAGACAGAGGUGAAAUCCCCGGGCUCAACCUGGGAACUGCCUUUGUGACUGCAAGGCUUGAGUGCGGCAGAGGGGGAUGGAAUUCCGCGUGUAGCAGUGAAAUGCGUAGAUAUGCGGAGGAACACCGAUGGCGAAGGCAAUCCCCUGGGCCUGCACUGACGCUCAUGCACGAAAGCGUGGGGAGCAAACAGGAUUAGAUACCCUGGUAGUCCACGCCCUAAACGAUGUCAACUGGUUGUUGGGAAGGUUCCUUCUCAGUAACGUAGCUAACGCGUGAAGUUGACCGCCUGGGGAGUACGGCCGCAAGGUUGAAACUCAAAUGAAUUGACGGGGUCAUAGCUGUUUCC